This 69-nucleotide transfer RNA is filed under the name Marmota monax (woodchuck). Its description in RNAcentral is "tRNA.Pro". Lineage: Eukaryota; Metazoa; Chordata; Mammalia; Rodentia; Sciuridae. The record is from RNAcentral.
GGGGUUGUGGCUCAGUGUUAGUGUACUUGCCUAGGAUGCAUGAGGCAUAGGGUUUGAUUCCCAGCACCA